RNAcentral lists this ribosomal RNA (481 nucleotides) under marine sediment bacterium ISA-6165. RNAcentral describes it as "bacterial SSU rRNA". It matches the Rfam family "Bacterial small subunit ribosomal RNA", at positions 37 to 518 of the family's 1533-position model. The record is from RNAcentral.
UAGCGGCAGGCCUAAUACAUGCAAGUCGAACGGUAGAUUGCUUUCGGGUAAUUGAGAGUGGCGCACGGGUGCGUAACGCGUAUGCAACCUACCCUAUACAGGGGGAUAGCCCGGAGAAAUCUGGAUUAAUACCCCAUAGUACUAUGAUGAGGCAUUUUGUUAUAGUUAAAGAUUCAUCGGUAUAGGAUGGGCAUGCGUCUGAUUAGCUAGUUGGCGGUGUAACGGACCACCAAGGCGACGAUCAGUAGGGGUUCUGAGAGGAAGGUCCCCCACACUGGCACUGAGAUACGGGCCAGACUCCUACGGGAGGCAGCAGUAGGGAAUAUUGGGCAAUGGACGAGAGUCUGACCCAGCCAUGCCGCGUGCAGGAAGACGGCGUUCUGCGUUGUAAACUGCUUUUAUCUGGGAAGAAAAGGCCCAUGCGUGGGACAUUGCCGGUACCAGAUGAAUAAGCACCGGCUAACUCCGUGCCAGCAGCCGC